UGUAUCAGUAUCCUAAAUGAAUUCCUAGAAUGCCCUUUCUCUCCUCUUUCUUCUUCCCAGCCCGAUACGACUCUUGCUUUCCAUCUCUCGCAUCUCAGUCGCCCAGACCAGAUGAGCCAUCUCCGGCCACCACCCAAUGACACGCACCCCACCAAGAGCUUCCUUGGCCUCCGAAACCCCCAACCCGUGAAGCUCGCCUCCGCAUUCGCCGGCCUCCGUCGUCGCGACUGGCUCACUGAAGUUCCGUCGCCGCUGUGAGUUUGGAGGAUUUUUCUAGCCUCCACCAUGGACGAUGAAGGCUCCAGCUGGCAACGACGAUGGCGAAGGCAACGGCGAAGGCUCUUGAGCUGGUGAAGUUCUCAGGCAUGGGUGGUGCUGCCAUUCUCUUCAAGGUUUUACUUAAAAAAUCCAUCUAUUCUUCAAGCCAGGGAUGGUAAACUUGGACAAGCAUCUAAUAAUUUAAAAUCUUUAAAGAGCUCUACCGCGAACGAUGAUGAAGAUCUCGAUUAUCUCAAUUGCAUGCAAGGUAUUGAAUCAAAUAUGGCAUGUUCUUUUGCUAUGUUUAAUUAAUAUAAUAUAAUGCUAUGUGGACCUAAAGAUGGUAAGUUUUAGAUGGCUUUUCAAACUAACACAUUUUUUUUUGCUGAUAAAUAAAAAAGAUAAUUUUAUUUAAAGAAACUGAUACAUAAAGAUUAUCCAUUUAAGAAGCAUUAAUGCCUUUAUACUUUUUGCUUUUUCCACGUUCUAUGUGGAUGACAACACUAUGUAUCACCUCCUUAUAUUUAUGCAUUAUUAUAAUAUCAUUUUUACCAUGAAUAAAUGCGUUAAGCUAACUUGACUAUCAUUUGCAAACUUCUAUUAAUUACUAAUUUAGUUGUUUGGUAUUAAUAUUAGUCUCUAAUAUCUGAUAUUAGAUUUAUACAGAAUUUCAUAUCGAUGUUCUAGUUUUAUAUAAAAACUUUGGUGGUAUAUAGGUUUGAUCACCGUUUUUGUUUAUUCACUAGAAAGGAUAAGGAAUACUAAAAUGCAAUUUUGUACAAUCAUGUUAAAUGCAGAAGCGCAAAGAAUGAAAUAAUAUUUUUGGCUAAGCCACCCUCCUGCUCAUGUACAAACAACAAGAUAGGGAAUGCAUAAAACGCAAGUCUGUACAAUCAUGUCUAGAUAGGAAAUACAUAAAAGGCAAUUUAUGCUUAAACGGUUAAACACUCUUGUUCAUGCUCUGACAGCUUCAGUCAUGUGCUUGCACUUUGACCUACCUGCUUAAUGUUUUAUCCUUGGGUGUGUUAGCAGUCAUAGAUGCUGCAUUUUAGAAUUAUAACUCAUGCCUAGUUUGGCAUGAGAGCUUUCAUAUAUGACUGAAUUUGAUUGUUUAUUGACUACUAUAUAGUAUAUGCCCAUAUAUGAAGAAGCAAGUGACUACUAUAUAAUAAGCAGGUGACUACAAAACAAUUUGAUUGUUUAUUCCUUUUUGAGGUAGUAGGCAAGGUACUAUCUCACAUCCUUAAUUUCUCUACCUCACUUUUUAUAUAUUUAUUUUGCAACCUUUUAUUGGAAGUGGGAAUUGAGGAAAUAAUAAAUGAGUAUUGUUCAAAGUGCUGUCUCAUACUGAAUCAGGUUUUGUACAGCAUGUUAGGAACGAGUUUCCUAAUACGCAGCAGAAUGGUGGUGGGGUUGACCUAGUGUACAACAAUUUUUUUUUAACAUAUUUAAAUUAUUUUUAAAUAUGCGGAUCCAUUAAUAUACAUACAUUAAUCAUAAGCAAUAUAAGAAUAGAAAUCAUACCUCUUGAAGUCUAUUAAGUGUCAUUCUAUCUUUUCGUAAUAAGAACGAUCUUGUGGGCACUUAGAGAAUAAAUGAUAGUUUAUUUAUGAUUC
Long non-coding RNA from Humulus lupulus (European hop), 1874 nucleotides. RefSeq lists it as uncharacterized. NCBI's taxonomy places the organism in Eukaryota, Viridiplantae, Streptophyta, Magnoliopsida, Rosales, Cannabaceae. The transcript has 3 exons. The record is from RefSeq and is a predicted model, not a curated record.